RNAcentral lists this ribosomal RNA (2885 nucleotides) under seawater metagenome. Its description in RNAcentral is "bacterial LSU rRNA". It matches the Rfam family "Bacterial large subunit ribosomal RNA". The record is from RNAcentral.
UCAAAUAGAGAAGAGCACACGGUGGAUGCCUAGGCAUUGAGAGGCGAUGAAAGACGUAGGAGCCUGCGAUAAGUUUCGGCGAGCUGGCAAGCAAGCGAUGACCCGGAAAUUUCUGAAUGGGGAAACCCACUGGCCGUCAUAGGCCAGUACCGAAAGGAGCCAACGCGGGGAACUGAAACAUCUAAGUACCCGUAGGAAAGGAAAUCAAACGAGACUCCCUGAGUAGCGGCGAGCGAACGGGGAAUAGCCCAAACCAUGCCAAUUCGUUGGUGUGGGGUUGUAGGACUGACAUAAGGAUCGGUGAUUGAUAGCGGAAGUAUCUGGGAAGGUACAGCAUAGAGGGUGAGACUCCCGUACGCGAAAUCAUGAACCGGACAGACAGUAUCCUGAGUACGAUGGGGCACGUGAAACCCCGUUGGAAUCUGGGGGGACCACCCUCCAAGGCUAAGUACUACUCAAUGACCGAUAGUGAACGAGUACCGUGAGGGAAAGGUGAAAAGAACCCCGGAAGGGGAGUGAAAAGACCCUGAAACCGUGUGCUUACAAACAGUGGGAGCUCUUCGGAGUGACCGCGUACCUUUUGCAUAAUGAGCCAGCGAGUUGUGGUUCGCAGCGAGGUUAAGCCGUCAGGUGUAGCCGUAGGGAAACCGAGUCUGAAUAGGGCGAAUAGUUGCGGGCUGCAGACCCGAAGCCAGGUGAGCUACCCAUGGGCAGGGUGAAGCGAGGGUAAAACUUCGUGGAGGCCCGAACGCACAAGAGUUGAAAAUCUUGGCGAUGACUUGUGGGUAGGAGUGAAAGGCUAAUCAAACCUGGAGAUAGCUGGUUCUCCCCGAAAUGCAUUUACGUGCAGCGUCGGACAGCACCGUUGAGGGUAGAGCACUGACAGGACUAGGGGCCCUCCAAGGUUACCAACUCCUAUCAAACUCCGAAUUUCAAUGAGUGACGUACGGCAGUGAGACUGCGGGAGAUAAGUUUCGUAGUCGAGAGGGAAAGAGCCCAGACUACCGGCUAAGGUCCCCAAAUUUGUGCUAAGUGGUUAAGGAAGUGGGGAAACAUAGACAACCAGGAGGUUGGCUUAGAAGCAGCCACCCUUUAAAGAAAGCGUAAUAGCUCACUGGUCAAGUUGUCCUGCGCCGUAAAUAUAGCGGGGCUAAGCACAAUACCGAAGCCGUAGCAAUGUAUUUAUACAUUGGGUAGGGGAGCGUUCCAUAUGCGGAGAAGGGGAAGCGUGAGCGACCUUGGAGCGUAUGGAAGUGAGAAUGCUGGCGUGAGUAGCGAUAAAGCGGGUGAAAAACCCGCUCGCCGGAAACCCAAGGGUUCCUGUCCAAGGAUCAUCCGGGCAGGGUUAGUCGGCCCCUAAGGCGUAGCUGAAAGGCGAAGUCGAUGGGAAACGGGCUAAUAUUCCCGUACCUUCAACGAGGAGCAGUGCCGGGACGGAGAAGGCUAGGCCAGCCACCUGAUGGAUGGUGGUUCAAGGUAGUAGGCUGGGGUUGUAGGAAUAAAACGCGACCCCUUAAGGCCGAGAACUGAUGACGGAGUGUCUUCGGACAUGAAGUGGUUGAUGCCAGGCUUCCAAGAAAAGCGGCGGGCUGCGUUGAGACGUUGAAGACCGUACCCCAAACCGACUCAGGUGGGUAGGUGGAGAACACCAAGGCGCUAGGGAGAACUCGGGUUAAGGAACUAGGCAAAUUGACACCGUAACUUCGGGAUAAGGUGUGCCACUGGUAGGUGAUAGGACUUGCUCCUGGAGCCGAAGGUGGUUGCAACAAAGCGGCGGUAGCGACUGUUUACCAAAAACACAGGUCUCUGCGAAACCGUAAGGUGACGUAUAGGGACUGACGCCUGCCCGGUGCUGGAAGGUUAAGAGGAGUCGUUAGCAUUAGCGAAGCGGCGAAUUGAAGCCCCAGUAAACGGCGGCCGUAACUAUAACGGUCCUAAGGUAGCGAAAUUCCUUGUCGGGUAAGUUCCGACCUGCACGAAAGGCGUAACGACUUCCGCGCUGUCUCGACCCGAGACCCUGUGAAAUCGACAUUGGGGUGAAGAUGCCCUAUACCCGCAGAAAGACGGAAAGACCCUGUGAACCUUUACUCUAGCUUGACAGUGGCGUUCGAUAUGGUUUGUGUAGGAUAGGUGGGAGGCUUUGAGUCCGGGGCGCUAGUUUCGGAGGAGCCACCGUUGAAAUACCACCCUGAUCAUGUUGGCCGCCUAACCCCUAACGGGAGACACUGUCUGGUGGGGAGUUUGACUGGGGCGGUCGCCUCCCAAACAGUAACGGAGGCGCGCGAAGGUUCUCUCAGGCUGAUUGGAAACCAGCCGUAGAGUGCAAAGGCAUAAGAGAGCUUGACUGCGAGACGGACACGUCGAGCAGGUGCGAAAGCAGGCCUUAGUGAUCCGGCGGUCCCGUGUGGAAGGGCCGUCGCUCAACGGAUAAAAGGUACUCCGGGGAUAACAGGCUGAUCGCGCCCAAGAGUUCACAUCGACGGCGCGGUUUGGCACCUCGAUGUCGGCUCGUCGCAUCCUGGGGCUGGAGCAGGUCCCAAGGGUUUGGCUGUUCGCCAAUUAAAGCGGCACGCGAGCUGGGUUCAGAACGUCGUGAGACAGUUCGGUCCCUAUCUUCUGUGGGCGUUGGAGAGUUGAGAGGCCUUGUCCUUAGUACGAGAGGACCGGGAUGAACGUACCUCUGGUGUUCCGGUUGUUGCGCCAGCAGCAUUGCCGGGUAGCUACGUGCGGAAAGGAUAACCGCUGAAAGCAUCUAAGUGGGAAGCCUGCCUCAAGAUGAGCUCUCCCUGAAGGACCCAGGUAGACUACCUGGUUGAUAGGCAGGGUGUGUAAGCACAGCAAUGUGUUCAGCUAACCUGUACUAAUUGUCCGAUUGAUUUGUUUCA